RNAcentral lists this long non-coding RNA (236 nucleotides) under Lathyrus oleraceus (garden pea). RNAcentral describes it as "Pisum sativum (pea) long non-coding RNA (PSAT_LNC017617)". The record is from RNAcentral. Lineage: Eukaryota; Viridiplantae; Streptophyta; Magnoliopsida; Fabales; Fabaceae.
AAAUGAUUUUAAUUCAAAAUAUGAAAGAGGAUUUUAUUUAAAUUUUUUUGGUGAAACUCUCAUAUUUUUUGGAUCAAUAUUAUAAUGAUUUUAAUUCAAAAUAUGAAAGAGGAUUUUAUUUAAAUUUUUUUGGUGAAACUCUCAUAUUUUUUGGAUCAAUAUUAAAAUUAAUAUGAAUUAAUGAAAAUCAAAGGAAUAAAAUGAAAAUCAAAGGAAUAAAAUGAAAAUCAGAAAAU